RNAcentral lists this ribosomal RNA (207 nucleotides) under uncultured bacterium. RNAcentral describes it as "partial 16S ribosomal RNA". It matches the Rfam family "Bacterial small subunit ribosomal RNA", at positions 568 to 774 of the family's 1533-position model. The record is from RNAcentral.
UACGUAGGCGGCGCUGUCAGUCGGGUGUGAAAGCCCUCGGCUCAACCGAGGAAUUGCGCCCGAUACUGCAGUGCUUGAGGGAGACAGAGGUAAGCGGAACUGAUGGUGGAGCGGUGAAAUGCGUUGAUAUCAUCAGGAACACCAGUGGCGAAAGCGGCUUACUGGGUCUCUUCUGACGCUGAGGUACGAAAGCUAGGGGAGCGAAGG